This 300-nucleotide unclassified non-coding RNA is filed under the name fungal sp. Its description in RNAcentral is "partial internal transcribed spacer region". The stretch from base 1 to 46 matches the Rfam family "Eukaryotic small subunit ribosomal RNA", at positions 1786 to 1831 of the family's 1831-position model. Lineage: Eukaryota; Fungi. The record is from RNAcentral.
AAGUCGUAACAAGGUAUCUGUAGGUGAACCUGCAGAUGGAUCAUUUCGAUGAAAACCUUUUUUUCUGAGGUGUGGCUCGCACCUGUCUAACUAAACUUGAGCUACCUUUAUAACACGGUUGCAUCGGUUGGGCCUGUCGAACAGUGCAAAUACGCGCUGGGAGACGGUCUCGACACUUUUAACCAAACACUUUUGAUGAUCUAGGAUUUGAAUGAAGUUCAUUUUUACGAUGGAACCGACUGGUAAUGCGGUCGACUAAAUCUAAAAAACAACUUUUGGCAACGGAUCUCUUGGUUCUCC